This 105-nucleotide ribosomal RNA is filed under the name uncultured bacterium. RNAcentral describes it as "partial 16S ribosomal RNA". It matches the Rfam family "Bacterial small subunit ribosomal RNA", at positions 1379 to 1482 of the family's 1533-position model. The record is from RNAcentral.
CCUUGUACACACCGCCCGUCAAGCCACGAAAGCUGGUAUACCUGAAGUCGCUGGCCUAACCCGAAAGGGAGGGAGGCGCCGACGGUAGGAUCGGUGAUUGGGACU